This 75-nucleotide transfer RNA is filed under the name Planctomycetaceae bacterium. RNAcentral's name for it is "tRNA-Leu". It matches the Rfam family "tRNA". Rfam says of the family: Transfer RNA (tRNA) molecules are approximately 80 nucleotides in length. Their secondary structure includes four short double-helical elements and three loops (D, anti-codon, and T loops). The record is from RNAcentral. Lineage: Bacteria; Pseudomonadati; Planctomycetota; Planctomycetia; Planctomycetales; Planctomycetaceae.
GGCACGGUGCGCCAACCCGGCAGAGCGACCAAGCUCAAACCUUGGUGGAUGGGGGUUCGAGUCCCUCUCGUGCUA